AUGUUAAUAGCAUACUCAUUUGACGUUAGCUGCAGUAAGAAGCACCGGCUAACUCCGUGCCAGCAGCCGCGGUAAUACGGAGGGUGCGAGCGUUAAUCGGAAUUACUGGGCGUAAAGCGCAUGCAGGUGGUUUGUUAAGUCAGAUGUGAAAGCCCGGGGCUCAACCUCGGAAUUGCAUUUGAAACUGGCAAACUAGAGUACUGUAGAGGGGGUAGAAUUUCAGGUGUAGCGGUGAAAUGCGUAGAGAUCUGAAGGAAUACCGGUGGCGAAGGCGGCCCCCUGGACAGAUACUGACACUCAGAUGCGAAAGCGUGGGGAGCAAACAGGAUUAGAUACCCUGGUAG
RNAcentral lists this ribosomal RNA (344 nucleotides) under uncultured bacterium. RNAcentral's name for it is "bacterial SSU rRNA". It matches the Rfam family "Bacterial small subunit ribosomal RNA", at positions 450 to 793 of the family's 1533-position model. The record is from RNAcentral.